GGGAGACUGCGGAGGACAUUACCGUUGGAGUUCGCUCCAAUCUGGGAUAGAACCCUUGCCUUUGAGUACCUUUCCGUUUCCUCGGUGGGUUCGCCCGCCGGUGGACAACCAUAAACUCUUUGUAAUAGCAGUAUCUUCUGAGAAAAACAAAUAGUUAAAACUUUCAACAACGGAUCUCUUGGUUCUGGCAUCGAUGAAGAACGCAGCA
Molecule: unclassified non-coding RNA, 208 nt
Filed under: Nigrograna mackinnonii
Lineage: Eukaryota; Fungi; Ascomycota; Dothideomycetes; Pleosporales; Nigrogranaceae
Description: sequence contains ITS1
Rfam family: 5.8S ribosomal RNA (bases 159-208)
Source: RNAcentral